GCCAGACUCCUACGGGAGGCAGCAGUGGGGAAUAUUGCACAAUGGGGGGGACCCUGAUGCAGCGACGCCGCGUGAGUGAAGAAGUAUUUCGGUAUGUAAAGCUCUCUCAGCAGGGAAGAAAAUGACGGUACCUGACUAAGAAGCCCCGGCUAACUACGUGCCAGCAGCCGCGGUAAUACGUAGGGGGCAAGCGUUAUCCGGAUUUACUGGGUGUAAAGGGUGCGUAGACGGGACAGCAAGUUAGUUGUGAAAGCCCUCGGCUUAACUGAGGAACUGCAACUAAAACUAUUGUUCUUGAGUGCAGGAGAGGAAAGCGGAAUUCCUGGUGUAGCGGUGAAAUGCGUAGAUAUCAGGAGGAACACCGGUGGCGAAGGCGGCCUGCUGGACUGCGACUGACGUUGAGGCCCGAAAGCGUGGGGAGCAAACAGGAUUAGAUACCCUGGUAC
This 446-nucleotide ribosomal RNA is filed under the name uncultured bacterium. Its description in RNAcentral is "bacterial SSU rRNA". It matches the Rfam family "Bacterial small subunit ribosomal RNA", at positions 330 to 793 of the family's 1533-position model. The record is from RNAcentral.